AAAACGCCCUGCUGGUCCGGAUUAACAUAACCCCACCCCUACAGGCACUCUAUAACACAAACACCCUGUGACGAUCGUCACAGUAUAAUAGAAGGUGGUAAGAAUGUCCUUAUUAACUCCAAACAAUUUAAAUUAAUACAAUGUGCUCAUGUUUUACAGAGUUAACAAAUAAGGGAAAAAAUGCAGUCUCACAGACACUGCAGGAUGUGAAGACUAAACUUGAAAAAAUCACAACUCUUCAGGAGGACCAUAACACAAAGCACACAAGAAAUAAAGAGUUUGAAGAUAUUUCACAAAAAGUAAAAGACAACACUCAGUGUAUGAUAAAGCUUCAAACUGAGGUCAAGACUUUGCAAAGACACGUAUUUUCACAGACAUCUGAAUCCAACUUUCCUGUAAGAAGAAGAAACAGUGUAGAAGCACUUCCUCCACGUAGUAAGUGAUGAAUUUUAAUAUGCACUAACAUCGAAUGAACCAGUUUAAAAUACUCUCAAUGGCAAAAAUGAUGCACCCAGAUUAUACAGUAUCCUCUUUAGCAAUGAAUCAAGGUUCUGUUUGGAAUCUGAUGACUGUCAGCGUUUAGCAUGGACUUUGGUAUGCACUUUGCUGCUUUGUCACAGUCGGUCAAACCAGUAGUGAUACAGAUACUUACAGGAGAUCCUGUGGCCAUGCAUGUUGCCUCUCUUGGCAGCAGUGUUGGGCACUUACUUUGAAAAAGUAAUUAGUUAUAGUUACUAGUUACUUCUCCAAAAAAGUAAUGGAGUUACUCCACUAUAAAAGUAACUAGUUACCAGUAAAAGUAACUAUUGUUACUUGCUUCGUAAAAAAUGAACAAAAGAAAAUAAAUGAUGUAAUUACUAUUAUUAUUAGAAAAAU
This 876-nucleotide long non-coding RNA is filed under the name Astyanax mexicanus (Mexican tetra). RNAcentral describes it as "lncRNA (ENSAMXG00005015186.1)". The record is from RNAcentral. Lineage: Eukaryota; Metazoa; Chordata; Actinopteri; Characiformes; Acestrorhamphidae.